This 301-nucleotide ribosomal RNA is filed under the name uncultured bacterium. Its description in RNAcentral is "partial 16S ribosomal RNA". It matches the Rfam family "Bacterial small subunit ribosomal RNA", at positions 509 to 807 of the family's 1533-position model. The record is from RNAcentral.
CAGUCGCCGCGGUAAUACGGAGGGUGCAAGCGUUAAUCGGAAUUACUGGGCGUAAAGCGCACGCAGGCGGUCUGUCAAGUCAGAUGUGAAAUCCCCGGGCUUAACCUGGGAACUGCAUUUGAAACUGGCAGGCUAGAGUCUUGUAGAGGGGGGUGGAAUUCCAGGUGUAGCGGUGAAAUGCGUAGAGAUCUGGAGGAAUACCGGUGGCGAAGGCGGCCCCCUGGACAAAGACUGACGCUCAGGUGCGAAAGCGUGGGGAGCAAACAGGAUUAGAUACCCCUGUAGUCCCUGUCUCUUAUAC